This 317-nucleotide long non-coding RNA is filed under the name Homo sapiens (human). Its description in RNAcentral is "non-protein coding lnc-MBOAT4-7:1". Lineage: Eukaryota; Metazoa; Chordata; Mammalia; Primates; Hominidae. The record is from RNAcentral.
AUGGCAUAUCAGUUAUACAGAAAUACCGCUUUGGGAAACAGUCUUCAGGUGAGCCUAGAUGAGCUCAUACAGUCUCAACAGACCACCUACAAGUUCUACUUCAGUUUGAUAAGGCUAUAAAUUCAGCAUUGGCUCAGAGGGUUAGGAACAGAGUCAAUUUCAGGAGCUUUCUAAAUAUGUACAGAUUCUGUGAUAAUCUGUGGACUUUCGUAUUGAAUGAUGUUGAAUUCAGAGAAGUGACAAAAUUUAUUAAAGUGGAUGAAGCAAAAAUAGUAGACUGUGAUGGUAAAAAUACUGGCUCCAAUACUACAGAAUGA